RNAcentral lists this ribosomal RNA (576 nucleotides) under uncultured bacterium. Its description in RNAcentral is "bacterial SSU rRNA". It matches the Rfam family "Bacterial small subunit ribosomal RNA", at positions 102 to 674 of the family's 1533-position model. The record is from RNAcentral.
ACGGGUGAGUAAUACAUCGGAACGUGCCCAGAUGUGGGGGAUAACUACUCGAAAGAGUGGCUAAUACCGCAUAAUAUCUACGGAUGAAAGCGGGGGAUCGCAAGACCUCGCGCGUUUGGAGCGGCCGAUGGCAGAUUAGGUUGUUGGUGGGGUAAAGGCCUACCAAGCCUGCGAUCUGUAGCUGGUCUGAGAGGACGACCAGCCACACUGGGACUGAGACACGGCCCAGACUCCUACGGGAGGCAGCAGUGGGGAAUUUUGGACAAUGGGGGCAACCCUGAUCCAGCAAUGCCGCGUGCGGGACGAAGGCCUUCGGGUUGUAAACUGCUUUUGUACAGAACGAAAAAGCUCUUUCUAAUAAAGAGAGUCCAUGACGGUACUGUAAGAAUAAGCACCGGCUAACUACGUGCCAGCAGCCGCGGUAAUACGUAGGGUGCAAGCGUUAAUCGGAAUUACUGGGCGUAAAGCGUGCGCAGGCGGUCUUGUAAGACAGAGGUGAAAUCCCCGGGCUCAACCUGGGAACUGCCUUUGUGACUGCAAGGCUGGAGUACGGCAGAGGGGGAUGGAAUUCCGCGU